Molecule: ribosomal RNA, 320 nt
Filed under: uncultured Prevotella sp.
Lineage: Bacteria; Pseudomonadati; Bacteroidota; Bacteroidia; Bacteroidales; Prevotellaceae
Description: partial 16S ribosomal RNA
Source: RNAcentral
GGAGUUUGGACCGUGUCUCAGUUCCAAUGUGGGGGACCUUCCUCUCAGAACCCCUACUGAUCGUUGGCACGGUGGGCCGUUACCCCGCCGUCUACCUAAUCAGACGCAUCCCCAUCCCUUAGCGAUGAAUCUUUGCUUCACGUUAGAUGUCCGCUGUGAAGAACAUAGGGCAUUAAUCCGAUUUUCACCGGGCUAUUCCCUACUAAGGGGAAGGUUGGAUACGCGUUACUCACCCGUGCGCCGGUCGCCAGCAACAAUAGCAAGCUAUCGUCCUGAUGCCCCUCGACUUGCAUGUGUUAAGCCUGUAGCUAGCGUUCAUC